This 497-nucleotide ribosomal RNA is filed under the name uncultured bacterium. Its description in RNAcentral is "partial 16S ribosomal RNA". It matches the Rfam family "Bacterial small subunit ribosomal RNA", at positions 28 to 507 of the family's 1533-position model. The record is from RNAcentral.
GAUGAACGCUGGCGGCGUGCCUAAUACAUGCAAGUCGAGCGAACAGACGAGGAGCUUGCUCCUUUGACGUUAGCGGCGGACGGGUGAGUAACACGUGGGUAACCUACCUAUAAGACUGGGAUAACUUCGGGAAACCGGAGCUAAUACCGGAUAAUAUUUCGAACCGCAUGGUUCGAUAGUGAAAGAUGGCUUUGCUAUCACUUAUAGAUGGACCUGCGCCGUAUUAGCUAGUUGGUAAGGUAACGGCUUACCAAGGCAACGAUACGUAGCCGACCUGAGAGGGUGAUCGGCCACACUGGAACUGGAACACGGUCCAGACUCCUACGGGAGGCAGCAGUAGGGAAUCUUCCGCAAUGGGCGAAAGCCUGACGGAGCAACGCCGCGUGAGUGAUGAAGGUCUUCGGAUCGUAAAACUCUGUUAUUAGGGAAGAACAAACGUGUAAGUAACUGUGCACGUCUUGACGGUACCUAAUCAGAAAGCCACGGCUAACUACGUG